This 72-nucleotide transfer RNA is filed under the name Aedes aegypti (yellow fever mosquito). It matches the Rfam family "tRNA". From Rfam's summary of the family: Transfer RNA (tRNA) molecules are approximately 80 nucleotides in length. Their secondary structure includes four short double-helical elements and three loops (D, anti-codon, and T loops). Further hydrogen bonds mediate the characteristic L-shaped molecular structure. tRNAs have two regions of fundamental functional importance: the anti-codon, which is responsible for specific mRNA codon recognition, and the 3' end, to which the tRNAs corresponding amino acid is attached (by aminoacyl-tRNA synthetases). tRNAs cope with the degeneracy of the genetic code in two manners: having more than one tRNA (with a specific anti-codon) for a particular amino acid; and 'wobble' base-pairing, i.e. permitting non-standard base-pairing at the 3rd anti-codon position. Lineage: Eukaryota; Metazoa; Arthropoda; Insecta; Diptera; Culicidae. The record is from Rfam by way of RNAcentral.
GGUUCGGUAGCUUAUAUGGUAAAGCAUUCGUCUAGCAUACAAAAGUCGUGGGUUCAAACCCCACUUGAGCAC